GACGAACGCUGGCGGCGUGCUUAACACAUGCAAGUCGAACGGAAAGGCCCUGCUUUUGUGGGGUGCUCGAGUGGCGAACGGGUGAGUAACACGUGAGUAACCUGCCCUUGACUUUGGGAUAACUUCAGGAAACUGGGGCUAAUACCGGAUAGGAGCUCCUGCUGCAUGGUGGGGGUUGGAAAGUUUCGGCGGUUGGGGAUGGACUCGCGGCUUAUCAGCUUGUUGGUGGGGUAGUUGCUUACCAAGGCUUUGACGGGUAGCCGGCCUGAGAGGGUGACCGGCCACAUUGGGCCUGAGAUACGGCCCAGACUCCUACGGGAGGCAGCAGUGGGGAAUAUUGCACAAUGGGCGGAAGCGUGAUGCAGCAACGCCGCGUGCGGGAUGACGGCCUUCGGGUUGUAAACCGCUUUCGCCUGUGACGAAGCGUGAGUGACGGUAAUGGGUAAAGAAGCACCGGCUAACUACGUG
RNAcentral lists this ribosomal RNA (468 nucleotides) under uncultured bacterium. RNAcentral describes it as "partial 16S ribosomal RNA". It matches the Rfam family "Bacterial small subunit ribosomal RNA", at positions 28 to 507 of the family's 1533-position model. The record is from RNAcentral.